This 333-nucleotide RNase P RNA is filed under the name human gut metagenome. RNAcentral describes it as "Bacterial RNase P class A". It matches the Rfam family "Bacterial RNase P class A". From Rfam's summary of the family: Ribonuclease P (RNase P) is a ubiquitous endoribonuclease, found in archaea, bacteria and eukarya as well as chloroplasts and mitochondria. Its best characterised activity is the generation of mature 5'-ends of tRNAs by cleaving the 5'-leader elements of precursor-tRNAs. The record is from RNAcentral.
GAGUUAGCUGUGCGGUUGCGGGGCGGCAUAAGCCGCAACGAGGAAAGUCCGGGCUUCGCAAAGCAGGGUGCCUGCUAACGGCAGGUGGAGGCGACUUUAAGGAAAGUGCAACAGAAAAUAACCGCCGAAAGGUAAGGAUGAAAAGGCGAGGUAAGAGCUCACCGACUUUGCGGUAACGCAAGGUGCAAUGUAAACCCCACCCGAAGCAAGAUAGGGAGGCGCAAAGGGGCUUUGACCUGCGCUUCCAAUCAAAUCGUCGCUCGAGCGCGUCGGCGACGGCGCGCCUAGAUAGAUAACCGCACCAGACAGAACCCGGCUUACAGGCUAACUCGA